RNAcentral lists this ribosomal RNA (831 nucleotides) under Nodulosphaeria senecionis. Its description in RNAcentral is "SSU rRNA". It matches the Rfam family "Eukaryotic small subunit ribosomal RNA", at positions 143 to 984 of the family's 1831-position model. Lineage: Eukaryota; Fungi; Ascomycota; Dothideomycetes; Pleosporales; Phaeosphaeriaceae. The record is from RNAcentral.
AUAACCGUGGUAAUUCUAGAGCUAAUACAUGCUGAAAACCCCAACUUCGGGAGGGGUGUAUUUAUUAGAUAAAAAACCAACGCCCUUCGGGGCUUCUUGGUGAUUCAUGAUAACUUAACGGAUCGCAUGGCCUUGCGCCGGCGACGGUUCAUUCAAAUUUCUGCCCUAUCAACUUUCGAUGGUAAGGUAUUGGCUUACCAUGGUUUCAACGGGUAACGGGGAAUUAGGGUUCGAUUCCGGAGAGGGAGCCUGAGAAACGGCUACCACAUCCAAGGAAGGCAGCAGGCGCGCAAAUUACCCAAUCCCGACACGGGGAGGUAGUGACAAUAAAUACUGAUACAGGGCUCUUUUGGGUCUUGUAAUUGGAAUGAGUACAAUUUAAACCUCUUAACGAGGAACAAUUGGAGGGCAAGUCUGGUGCCAGCAGCCGCGGUAAUUCCAGCUCCAAUAGCGUAUAUUAAAGUUGUUGCAGUUAAAAAGCUCGUAGUUGAACCUUGGGUCUGGCUGGCAGGUCCGCCUCACCGCGUGUACUUGUCCGGCCGGGCCUUCCUUCUGGAGAACCUCAUGCCCUUCACUGGGCGUGUUGGGGACCAGGACUUUUACUUUGAAAAAAUUAGAGUGUUCAAAGCAGGCCUUUGCUCGAAUACGUUAGCAUGGAAUAAUGAAAUAGGACGUGCGGUCCUAUUUUGUUGGUUUCUAGGACCGCCGUAAUGAUUAAUAGGGACAGUCGGGGGCAUCAGUAUUCAAUUGUCAGAGGUGAAAUUCUUGGAUUUAUUGAAGACUAACUACUGCGAAAGCAUUUGCCAAGGAUGUUUUCAUUAAUCAGUGAAC